This 474-nucleotide ribosomal RNA is filed under the name uncultured organism. RNAcentral's name for it is "partial 16S ribosomal RNA". It matches the Rfam family "Bacterial small subunit ribosomal RNA", at positions 333 to 798 of the family's 1533-position model. The record is from RNAcentral.
ACACUCCUGCGGGAGGCAGCAGUGGGGAAUAUUGCACAAUGGGCGCAAGCCUGAUGCAGCCAUGCCGCGUGUAUGAAGAAGGCCUUCGGGUUGUAAAGUACUUUCAGCGGGGAGGAAGGCGAUAAGGUUAAUAACCUUGUCGAUUGACGUUACCCGCAGAAGAAGCACCGGCUAACUCCGUGCCAGCAGCCGCGGUAAUACGGAGGGUGCAAGCGUUAAUCGGAAUUACUGGGCGUAAAGCGCACGCAGGCGGUCUGUCAAGUCGGAUGUGAAAUCCCCAGGCUCAACCUGGGAACUGCAUUCGAAACUGGCAGGCUAGAGUCUUGUAGAGGGGGGUAGAAUUCCAGGUGUAGCGGUGAAAUGCGUAGAGAUCUGGAGGAAUACCGGUGGCGAAGGCGGCCCCCUGGACAAAGACUGACGCUCAGGUGCGAAAGCGUGGGGAGCAAACAGGAUUAGAUACCCGAGUAGUCCCAU